Daphnia pulicaria is the source of this 569-nucleotide long non-coding RNA. RefSeq lists it as uncharacterized. NCBI's taxonomy places the organism in Eukaryota, Metazoa, Arthropoda, Branchiopoda, Diplostraca, Daphniidae. The record is from RefSeq and is a predicted model, not a curated record. The transcript has 4 exons.
UGACAAUCAGUCUAUUAUUUAUUUAGCUCUGUCUUGAGUCUCUUUGGUCGUGAAAUACGAUUUUAUUGUGUGUGUUUCAUCUUUCAUCAAGCCUGAACAGAUUUCAGCCUGUGUUCUUUCCCUUUCUUUGAGGCUAAUUGACGUGAUAACGUCUAUGUACAAGUGGUCCCAGAUACUUGUAUCAUAUAUCCUGCUCAUGUGUGUGUCACCCGAUAAGCUUCCUUGCUUAUUAGGUACCUCACACGUAUACUUUGUACACAUCAACAUCUGACCCUGUACAUAUUUCAUCGCUCACAUUUUAUUCACCACUCAUCGUCUUCAAUACAUUGGAUGUAAGAGAAAAAGAGAACAAGCUUUCAAAUCACUGGUUCCAACAUUCAGAGGGAACAUGCCAGAAAGAAGUUAACUGCUGAUGAUGAUGGACAACAUGGUGUUGCUGGCGGCGAUGAAGACCAAGAUGACGAAAUAAGAACUUAAUUAUUUAAAUAACUCAUACAUGUUCAUUUUAAAUUAUCAGCAAUUCUGCUGAGCAAAUUAAUUAUCUAUAUGUGCAAUUGAGUGUUUUUACA